AUUGAACGCUGGCGGAAUGCCUUACACAUGCAAGUCGAACGGCAGCACGGGUGCUUGCACCUGGUGGCGAGUGGCGAACGGGUGAGUAAUACAUCGGAACAUGUCCUGUAGUGGGGGAUAGCCCGGCGAAAGCCGGAUUAAUACCGCAUACGAUCUACGGAUGAAAGCGGGGGACCUUCGGGCCUCGCGCUAUAGGGUUGGCCGAUGGCUGAUUAGCUAGUUGGUGGGGUAAAGGCCUACCAAGGCGACGAUCAGUAGCUGGUCUGAGAGGACGACCAGCCACACUGGGACUGAGACACGGCCCAGACUCCUACGGGAGGCAGCAGUGGGGAAUUUUGGACAAUGGGCGAAAGCCUGAUCCAGCAAUGCCGCGUGUGUGAAGAAGGCCUUCGGGUUGUAAAGCACUUUUGUCCGGAAAGAAAUCCUUGGCCCUGAUACGGUCGGGGGAUGACGGUACCGGAAGAAUAAGCACCGGCUAACUACGUG
This 486-nucleotide ribosomal RNA is filed under the name uncultured bacterium. Its description in RNAcentral is "partial 16S ribosomal RNA". It matches the Rfam family "Bacterial small subunit ribosomal RNA", at positions 30 to 507 of the family's 1533-position model. The record is from RNAcentral.